RNAcentral lists this ribosomal RNA (480 nucleotides) under uncultured bacterium. Its description in RNAcentral is "partial 16S ribosomal RNA". It matches the Rfam family "Bacterial small subunit ribosomal RNA", at positions 28 to 507 of the family's 1533-position model. The record is from RNAcentral.
GACGAACGCUGGCGGCGCGCUUAACACAUGCAAGUCGAGCGAUGAAACUUUAACAGCACCCUUCGGGGCGAAGAUAAAGUGGAUUAGCGGCGGACGGGUGAGUAACACGUGAGUAACCUGCCUUAGACAUUGGGAUAGCCUCGGGAAACCGGGAUUAAUACCAAAUAAAAUCAUAAUGACACAUGUCAUAACGAUCAAAACUCCGGUGGUCUAAGAUGGACUCGCGUCCCAUUGGCUAGUUGGUAGAGUAAAAGCCUACCAAGGAGAAGAUGGGUAGCCGGCAUGAGAGGGUGAACGGCCACACUGGAACUGAGAAAAGGUCCAAACUCCUACGGGAGGCAGCAGUGGGGAAUAUUGCACAAUGGAGGGAACUCUGAUGCAGCGACGCCGCGUGAACGAAGAAGGCUUUAGAGACGUAAAGUUCUUUUAUAUGGGAAGAUAAUGACGGUACCAUAAGAAAAAGCCCCGGCUAACUACGUG